AACGAACGCUGGCGGCAUGCUUCAUACAUGCAAGUCGAACGGUUGUAGCAAUACAAUAGUGGCGAACGGGUGCGUAACACGUGGAUAAUCUGCCCCUUGGCGGGGGAUAUCGGCUGGAAACGGCCGGCAAUACCGCAUGUGGCCUACGGAACCUCGGUUCUGUAGAAGAAAGGCGCUUCACGGCGUCGCCAAGGGAUGAGUCCGCGGCCCAUUAGCUAGUUGGUGAGAUAAUAGCCCACCAAGGCUUUGAUGGGUAGCCGAGCUGAGAGGUUGAUCGGCCACACUGGGACUGAGACACGGCCCAGACUCCUACGGGAGGCAGCAGUGGGGAAUCUUGCGCAAUGGGCGAAAGCCUGACGCAGCAACGCCGCGUGCGGGAUGAAGGCCUCGGUUGUAACGCUUCAGCAGGACGAAAGUAGACGGUACC
This 427-nucleotide ribosomal RNA is filed under the name uncultured bacterium. Its description in RNAcentral is "bacterial SSU rRNA". It matches the Rfam family "Bacterial small subunit ribosomal RNA", at positions 29 to 479 of the family's 1533-position model. The record is from RNAcentral.